GGAGCCCGACGUGGGACUCGAUCCUGGGUCUCCAGGAUCAUGCUCUGGGCUGAAGGCAGCGCUAAACCACUGAGCCACCCAGGCUGCCCUAACAAAGACUUUUAAUAUCAAUUUAUUCUAUCCAAACAAACUGACGUGACUCAGGUAUUUAAAAAUAUUUUAGAAACACUUCCUCAAAAAUUUCCAAGACAGCAGCUUUCAGAUGUUCCCCCAAUACCAGGGUUGUUCCGAUGAAGUAAAUCUUAUGAGAACUCACCACCAACCACAAGCAAAUCUUAUGAGAACUCACCACCAACCACAAGCAUUUUCAGGCAUAAGUUUACUCUUCUUACCACCCUGAGCUUAGAAGCAGGCAGUCCUCAACAAAAGUUCAUUGAACCCAAGUACUGAAAUUAUAACAGCUAAAAUACCAACAUAUCAAUAAACAGGCUUUUGAAAGACUGUGGGAAAUCAAAACACUGUCAGUUUAUACAAGUAUUCAUAAACAUGUGAAAAUGUUCUAGUUUAUCCUAAAUGCCUCAGCCCUUUUGAAUGCUACACUAAUUAAAAGGAUACAUUUCCUGAGUAGUUCAUAAAAUAUGGAUAGUAUUUAAAAAUGAAAAGCAGUGUGAAAAGGGUAAGCUAAAUAUUAGCUAUACUCAGUCUUACUAUAUGGCAUAGUGCAAUCCAGUAAUUAAUAGUACCACAUAAUUGUUUUAUUCAGGUUCUGUUUGUCAGGCCUGCUUUUAAAAUUAAGUCACUAAAGAGAAAAUAUUUUCAGUCUGUAAUUAUAUUUAAAUCAUCAAUUUGACUUGUGCUUUUUAAAGUCUAUUAAUUUAACAAAGAUAGCCAAAAGUUGAUAUUUGAGGAAAAGACUUUCAGUUCAGGGUAUAAACGAUAAAAGAUCAUUUUAAAAAGCAUGUAAUAAAAGCAUUUUCUGUAAAAACAAAGACACCUCAAGCAGGUCCACCUAUACCUCUAGUUUAGGUCAGAAAUGAAGUCAAUCUUAAAAAAAAAUCAUAUAAUCUUUAACUUUGCACUAAGUCACGUUGGCCUUCUUCCCCUCAUGAGUCAGGUCUUAGUGUACCUGAAGGAAAUUAAAGCAUACUGAAAAGAUACUGGCUUCAAAUAAUAUACAGACAUAUUGAUAUAUUGCAUCAAUAUCUAGAUAUAUAACCUAGUGGAUUAGGUGUCAUCCUUCAAACCAUUUCUAGGAGAAAAACUUGGCUGUCAGCUUUCCUCAAAGCAAAGAUACAAUUUUCCUCAAAAACAGGAUACAAAAUUAUAAAUUCUGCAAAGUCCUAUUUGUUAACAUCCUAAAAAUAAGCAAUUACCUUUUAGGUAUAAAGAGCUAAAUACAGCCCUUCCUUGUCUAAGAGUGACACUGGUCACCUGUAAUUUAGUGCUUUAUCUUCCAAAUCUUUGGAGAUUUACUAUACCCUGUGAGGAUCAACCAACAAUGGUAAUUUAAUCCCAGUAUAAACAUUUAUGGAAAUCCAACACCGUUACUUAGUGCCACUGAAGUAUGAGAGUAUAAAAAGAGCUUAGUUCUAAAAGGAAAAUCGCUUAUUACAAUGGAAGUAGUCUCUUAAAUUCAAAUGGCAUCAUGAAGAUCAGUGAUAAUUGAUUCCUCUGGAAUGAGAUUUUUUAUUCCAGCAUUUAUUGUAUGUGUUUAAUGAUAUUUUUUACUGUGAUGUGGCUCAAUUAACUCACUGGUAUAUAAAAAAUAAAAAGGGAUUAAAAAUAUGAAUUAUAUUAAAUGCUAUUAAGGUAAAAAUAAUGUAAAAUAUCAAAGUAAGAUCCAGACAGAGAUGGGAAAAAAAAAUUUUUUUAAAUAAAGGGCCAGAUAGUAAAUAUUUUAAGUUUUACUGGUCGCAUGAUCUGGUCUUGGUUUCUAUUUUUUUCUACAAUUCUUUAAAAAUGUAAAGAUUAUUUUGUACCUGCUAGCCACAUAAAAUCGGGUGCUUGCCAAGUGAGGCCACAGCUUGUAGUUCCUUGAUAUAGAAGAAAAGCAAUCCUCAGCUACUAACUCUCUACCCUUUUUUUCAACUUUAAAUAAUUUCAGAUAGGACAGGAAUUAGAGGUUCAAAGGACUAUAAGGAUAAGUGAUCUAACUUUCCAAACGGGGAGCUCAAGGCCCAGGAGUCCCACAUGACUCGCUAGUAACAGAGAGGCCAAACACUGGUCUUUCACCUUCUAUUUUUGGAAUAUACUCAAAUUUGAGGACUCCCUUUAAAAUAAAGUAUACUACAGCUUUACUGUAUUCACAGCUUAAAGUAUUUGCUUUACCAGAUAUUUUUCACAUUCUUUUAUCAAGAAAUUCACACUAAGAAAAGAAAAAAAAAUAUAUAUAUAUACAUUUUUUUUUUUUUUUAAAGAAAAGAAAAUCUUAAAAAUACUUUCAAAAUAGUAUGGAGAUAGCGUGCAGCUUAAGGAGGCUUAGAAUUCUGUCCCCUAAACUCGGUAAGCUGGACAGGCUGGCUUCUGAGUAGAAGCCUGAAUAGGGCUGCUAGGUCUAUGACAUUAAUAUUCAAAGCAAAUAGACAUUACUCCUUUCUCAUUAAGUCCCCCAGAAGACACUGGGAUACCACACAAACACUUCACAGAAAGAGUCUAACCCUAUCCGUCUAUAUUUUUUCCUAUUACGGAUAUGUGGAAUUAGGAAUAGCAUUUUAAUG
This 2657-nucleotide long non-coding RNA is filed under the name Canis lupus familiaris (dog). RNAcentral's name for it is "lncRNA (ENSCAFG00845006603.1)". Lineage: Eukaryota; Metazoa; Chordata; Mammalia; Carnivora; Canidae. The record is from RNAcentral.